AGACACCAAGUGACCUGACUGAACCCUCUGGAGACCAUGAAUGGAGUGAGAUAUCCACUUCAUUCUUACAACAGACACCGAGUGACCUGACUGAACCCUCUGGAGACCAUGAAUGGAAUGAUAGAUACACUUCAUCCUUACAACAGACAUCAAGUGACAGGUACCUGACUGAACCCUCUGGAAACCAAGAAUGGAGUGAGAGAUCCACUUCAUCCUUACAACAGACACCAAGUGACCUGACUGAACCCUCUGGAGACCAUGAAUGGAGUGAGAGAUCCACUUCAUUCUUACAACAGACACCAAGUGACCUGACUGAACCCUCUGGAGACCAUGAAUGGAAUGAGAGAUAAAUUCUCAAAAUUCUCAAAUUUUCAAAAUUCUCAUUAUUUCCUGGAAUAUCUUAUUUUGAUUAUUUUAUUUUUCCAUUUUUAAUAAAUAAUGCCUUCUUUUACAGGUGGGAAUAAGAGACGCACGUGGACAGAUUAUGAAGUGAAGGCUGUUGAGCGACAUAUGUUUGAUUUCAUAACAAGCCAGAAAGUUUCUGGUAAAACGAGCUGUGAGUCCUGUCUCCACGCAGAGCCAGCAGCUCUGAACGACAGAGGCUGGGUGUCCAUCAAAAACUACAUCCACAACAGGAUAUAACUGCAUUAAAAAGGGAAAUGAAUGGCUAGUCCAUUGAAAUGCGAGCACGUCUGGGUACAUUUCAGUUCAAGUUAACUAAAGCAAUAGCAAUGGUGCAUUUAGGGUGGGAUGGUCAAUUAUGGAUUUCAUAUUUGUUGUUGGAUACUGUGUUUCACGUUUGUUGUUUCAUGAUCUUCAAGAGCAAUUUGGAAAAUCCUUGAAGAUGUAUGAACAUGUAAAUUAUACUGUAUAUCAGGCAUGUUCCGAUCUGGGCCUGGAGAGCCACUGUCGUGCCUGUUUUCCAGCUCUCCCGGCUGCAUCACACCUGUUUCAGAUGAUCAGUUCAUCAGUCAGCUCUGAUGCAGCAUUAGAACAUCCUGGGAGAGCUGGAAA
Long non-coding RNA from Hippocampus zosterae (dwarf seahorse), 1014 nucleotides. RefSeq lists it as uncharacterized. The transcript has 5 exons. NCBI's taxonomy places the organism in Eukaryota, Metazoa, Chordata, Actinopteri, Syngnathiformes, Syngnathidae. The record is from RefSeq and is a predicted model, not a curated record.